GAUGAACGCUGGCGGCGUGCCUAAUACAUGCAAGUCGAGCGAACAGACGAGGAGCUUGCUCCUCUGACGUUAGCGGCGGAAGGGUGAGUAACACGUGGAUAACCUACCUAUAAGACUGGGAUAACUUCGGGAAACCGGAGCUAAUACCGGAUAAUAUAUUGAACCGCAUGGUUCAAUAGUUAAAGACGGUUUUGCUGUCACUUAUAGAUGGAUCCGCGCCGCAUUAGCUAGUUGGUAAGGUAACGGCUUACCAAGGCAGCGAUGCGUAGCCGACCUGAGAGAGUGAUCGGCCACACUGGAACUGAGACACGGUCCAGACUCCUACGGGAGGCAGCAGUAGGGAAUCUUCCGCAAUGGGCGAAAGCCUGACGGAGCAACGCCGCGUGAGUGAUGAAGGUCUUCGGAUCGUAAAACUCUGUUAUUAGGGAAGAACAAAUGUGUAAGUAACUAUGCACGUCUUGACGGUACCUAAUCAGAAAGCCACGGCUAACUACGUG
RNAcentral lists this ribosomal RNA (497 nucleotides) under uncultured bacterium. RNAcentral describes it as "partial 16S ribosomal RNA". It matches the Rfam family "Bacterial small subunit ribosomal RNA", at positions 28 to 507 of the family's 1533-position model. The record is from RNAcentral.